AAGAUUACAAUAUAGACCCCGACACGUACGAAGGAGAGUUAUUCCAAGAAGAUGGGCUCGAAGGGAGUUUUGUGAUAGAUUUAACCGAAGCGAUCGGAAUGGAAGUAGACAACGAGAGGGUUGCUGCAGAAGACGGUGGAGACGAGGUUCAGAAUGUGAAGGACUUAGAAUUACUUCAACGAUUACAGUUAGAUAAUGACAGUGAUGACGACAUUCCUUCUUCGGAGCACGAGCUUGACUAUAUCGACACGCGUGAUAGUGAUGAUGAGACUUAUGAUCCAGCUAAUCCCGAUCAUGAUGAUUAUUUCUAAUACAUGUAUGAUUCGUAAUAAUUUAGCUAUAAUUACUUGUAAUUUGCAUAUAUUUCUAAUUAUGUUUUGUUUGCCUAUGCUGACUCGUGUACUCUUUUUAAUUGCAGGUCAUUAAGCAAUGGUGGGCGGUAUCA
This 445-nucleotide long non-coding RNA is filed under the name Setaria viridis. Its description in RNAcentral is "long non-coding RNA (SVIR_LNC009842)". Lineage: Eukaryota; Viridiplantae; Streptophyta; Magnoliopsida; Poales; Poaceae. The record is from RNAcentral.